CCUACGGGUGGCAGCAGUGAGGAAUAUUGGUCAAUGGGCGCGAGCCUGAACCAGCCAAGUAGCGUGAAGGAUGACUGCCCUACGGGUUGUAAACUUCUUUUAUAAAGGAAUAAAUUGAGGUACGUGUGCCUUUUUGUAUGUACUUUAUGAAUAAGGAUCGGCUAACUCCGUGCCAGCAGCCGGGGUAAUACGGAGGAUCCGAGCGUUAUCCGGAUUUAUUGGGUUUAAAGGGGGCGUAGGUGGAUUGUUAAGUCAGUUGUGAAAGUUUGCGGCUCAACCGUAAAAUUGCAAUUGAUACUGGCAGCCGUGAGUACAGUUGAGGUAGGCGGAAUUCGUGGUGUAGCGGUGAAAUGCUGAGAUAUCACGAAGAACUCCGAUUGCGAAGGCAGCCUACUAAACUGCAACUGACAUUGAUGCUCGAAAGUGUGGGUAUCAAACAGGAUUAGAUACCCUGGUAGUC
This 460-nucleotide ribosomal RNA is filed under the name uncultured bacterium. RNAcentral's name for it is "partial 16S ribosomal RNA". It matches the Rfam family "Bacterial small subunit ribosomal RNA", at positions 338 to 795 of the family's 1533-position model. The record is from RNAcentral.